GGCGGCGCAGCGAGUCGUGACUCGGAAGUUGUCUAGUAGACUUGGAGGAAGCUGGAUGGUUGAAUUUGAAGUGGCUGUGGCUGUGGCUGUGGCUGCACCUGCACCGGCACGUGGACGUGAUGGUGGUGGUGGUGGUGGUGUGUGGGGUUUUGGGGAGGAUAGGUAACCCAGGGCGUAGGAUAGCAGGAGGAGGAUAAUAUACGCCGUUGGGUUAUUGAAGAGUUUCUUGGUUAUGUACAUGUUUACUUUGUGGUGGAAGCGGUGGUGGUCUUCUUUUGCUCACAUGUUUUGUCGUUUAUUUGGUGAAUUCUUGAUUGUUAAGACUAACUAAUUACUUGAUACAUACGGUUGAUUUAAAGAGAACAACAUCAAGUAAUCAACUACCAGCGGUGACUAACAAUAUACAAUUAUCUUUUCCACAAUUCUAUCUGUGUUUUAAUAAUAACAACUACAAUAAUAAUAUUAAGGUAUGCUUAUGAAACGACUGUCGACUAGGACUACAAAACUACCGAGAAAAAAAAUGGUGAUGAUGGUUAGUGUUUGUGAGAAGGAAAGAGGAUGGAUCUGCUUCUGCUGUGUGGGGUGAGUUAGUAGAAAUUGCGUGUUUACUACACGGAUGAUCAUGAAAAGACUCGAAAACUUGUUGAUUACGAUUUCAGAGGCAUUGUAAAAUACGGGUUGAGUUUUACAAUUCAGCUCAAACCUUUCCCAACCUUUGAUUGGAAUGAAAUGGUAUAAGCUAUGAUGUAUUGAUGAGGGAGAUUAUAGUCUAUUAUAUAUAUAUAUAUCUGCUGUACCGUACAUCCGCCUUGGCCGUACAGCAGAGUUGAAUGCGGAAUUUUUCGUCAUUCACUACGUUUCCAUAUUUAUUUUUGCAAUAAUAUUGUAUUUAUUUAGUUAGAACACUUAUGGUGUAUUUAUUUAUGGGUUUAAAAAAUUAGAAUGAAGGAAUGAGAAUUAAAUUAUUAAUAUUUAUCAUUAUUAUUAUUUAUUAAAAAUAAUAAUAACAAUAAUUAAUAAUAACUAAAAUAAUAAAGUUAAUAAAAUUUAAUAAUAAUAAUAAUAACAACAACAAAAACAAUAAUGAUAAUAUUGUUAAUAAUGAUAAAUUAAUUACUAUUAAUAUGGGUAUUUUGGUAAAUUAAUUAUCAUUCUCAUCCCUUAUUCCUAUUUAUUUUGCCAAGUAAACACAUCAAUGACAUUUCAGCACAUUCACAUUCUUAUUUAUUUUUGCCAAGUAAAUAUUGAAAUCUCAUUUUCAUUCGUCAUUCUCAUUCCAACCAAUUCUCAUUCUCAGCCCAUUCUCAUUUUACUCUAUUUCUAUUCUCAUGAAGUAAACACACAAUUAAAUUUAUAUCUUAAUUGAUGUAAUAAAUAACUUACUAUUAUUAUAUAAUUAAUUCAAGUGAUGAAUAAUUUUUUAAAUUUUUUUAUUCAAAUAAUAAAUCUCUAUUUAUGAUACACCAAUUAAAAUACAAACAGACUAAAUAUUCCAAGUAAAUAAAAAUAAUAUCACUCUUACUUUUCAAGAGUUGUUAUCUCAUAACCAGCAAACAGACGGCAACAACCAAUAACGGAUCAAGCAACCCUUUUUUUUCUGGGGGGUGUAAUUUUGAGUAUCACAUGACGGGACGGGAGAUGACAGGUAUACACGAGAUACAUAUGUGAAAAAAAAUCUAAGCAUUAACAGCAGAGUGGAUGACCCAGUGCUGCCCAUCAAUUUGAACUUUCAGACCGUUAAUCUUAGCAAACAAAUUUACCGCUCUCCUUACGCCUCUGUUAUCCGCAGCAGUAAAAUAAUCGUGGCCAAAAAUUACCCCACCGGGUCUCAAGAUCCGCCAAGCCCGGUUGAUAUCCGCCCAGGCCGAGUUAAAGUCAUGGCCCGCGUCAAUUUCUAUCAAAUCACCCACCACUCCCCACUCACAAAGUUUGGUUAAAGCCGAGCCGCUGGAAAACGGCACGGGCAAAACCGAAUCGAUGGCGUUUUGGUAAAUUACAUUCUGCAGGAACUGGAAAUAAAGUAAAACGUUGCCGUUUACCAUCGGAAUUUCCUUGAAUUUAUCGCGAAACCCAGGCCAGCCACGGAAGUCGUCGAUACAGAGAAUCUGAGAAUCGAGUCCCAAUUGGCGGGUCAAGUUGGCCAUGUGAAGAGCUGAGGCGCCGAGGAAGGACCCUACUUCGAUGAUGACACGCGGCCUGACUUUAUCAAUGAGGUUUCCGAAAACGGCACCGUAGGAGCCCCACCCCUUGAUGCGACGCCGGCGAAGUAGGUGACUAAUAUGCGGCGGCGGGAAAUUGACGUAAGGGGAGGUGCCGUUGAAGAUUCGGUCAAUGAUGGUUUGACGGACGAGUUGAGGAGGAACUGAGUCGGCGGCGCAGCGAGUCGUGACUCGGAAGUUGUCUAGUAGACUUGGAGGAAGCUGGAUGGUUGAAUUUGAAGUGGCUGUGGCUGUGGCUGUGGCUGCACCUGCACCGGCACGUGGACGUGAUGGUGGUGGUGGUGGUGGUGUGUGGGGUUUUGGGGAGGAUAGGUAACCCAGGGCGUAGGAUAGCAGGAGGAGGAUAAUAUACGCCGUUGGGUUAUUGAAGAGUUUCUUGGUUAUGUACAUGUUUACUUUGUGGUGGAAGCGGUGGUGGUCUUCUUUUGCUCACAUGUUUUGUCGUUUAUUUGGUGAAUUCU
This 2680-nucleotide long non-coding RNA is filed under the name Citrus sinensis (sweet orange). RNAcentral's name for it is "long non-coding RNA (CSIN_LNC004131)". The record is from RNAcentral. Lineage: Eukaryota; Viridiplantae; Streptophyta; Magnoliopsida; Sapindales; Rutaceae.